GACGGCAGCGGCGGCGACAACCCGGAAACGGGCGGAGCGUGGGCCCCGGCAAAAGAAACUAAUAUGCUGUAUGACAACAGCCGAAGAAUAAAUAUCCUUUCAAGUCCAAUCCUGCCUACGAUGUCAAAAUCAAGAAAGAGGAGGUUAUGUGCUGAAACAGAAUGACCUUCACGAGAUGCAGCCUCUGGAUCUUGGACUUCCCCAGCCUCCAGAACUGUAAG
This is a long non-coding RNA of Nomascus leucogenys (northern white-cheeked gibbon), 221 nucleotides long. RefSeq lists it as uncharacterized. NCBI's taxonomy places the organism in Eukaryota, Metazoa, Chordata, Mammalia, Primates, Hylobatidae. The record is from RefSeq and is a predicted model, not a curated record.